UGGUUAUAUACAGUUACUUUCCUAUUGGACCCAUCGCUAUGCCAUUUCUCUCCUCUUUAAUUUGUUUUCAUAUGGUGUUUUCCUAGGUCCGCUGUUUAGAAUGGUGUUUUCCUAGGUCCCCUGUUUAGAAUGGUGUUUUCCCAGGUCCGCUGUUUAGAAUGGUGUUCUCCCAGGUCCGCUGUUUAGAAUGGUGUUUUCCCAGGUCCGCUGUUUAGAAUGGUGUUCUCCCAGGUCCGCUGUUUAGAAUGGUGUUUUCCUAGGUCCUCUGUUUAGAAUGGUGUUUUCCUAGGUCCUCUGUUUAGAAUGGUGUUUUCCUAGGUCCGCUGUUUAGAAUGGUGUUUUCCCAGGUCCGCUGUUUAGAAUGGUGUUUUCCCAGGUCCGCUGUUUAGAAUGGUGUUUUCCUAGGUCCGCUGUUUAGAAUGGUGUUUUCCCAGGUCCGCUGUUUAGAAUGGUGUUUUCCCAGGUCCGCUGUUUAGAAUGGUGUUUUCCCAGGUGUGCUGUUUAGAAUGGUGUUCUCCCAGGUGUGCUGUUCAGAACACUGUUUUCCUGCAAAUUUCAUUUUGGUAAAUGUUUGAAAAGGACAGUUUAUUGGCUGCCUCAUAACAUGAGUUACAUGUUCUGGUGAGAUGCAUUAUCAUAAUCUAAAUGUGAUUUUUGUCAUUCUGAACACCGUGGAUGGACCCGCUAAUUUGUUAUGCGCUCAAAGCACAUGGGUCCAGUAAAUUUCUUAAAUGGCCGGUAAAUUAAAAUCUUCCCGGUCACCUUGUCCGGUCGCCACAUUUUCCUAACAGAAACCCUGAUGUGUGCCUGUGUGCGUGCGUGACAGAGGAGUUUUACUGUGUGUGUGUGCGAGAGAGUUUUGUAGGGAUUUUUUAAACGUUAUUAUUACACAGUCUGACAAUAACAAGGGUAUCUGACAUCCGUCUCCUUUACAGCCAUGCACAGUAAUUUACUGUUACAAGCCUAUGAACUCAGAGCGUACCGAUGUGAAAAAUACAUUUUGCGAACUCACUUCAAAGACCCCAAACAAGGCCUCCCGAGUUGCGCAGUGGUCUAAGGCACUGCAUCGCAGUGCUAGCUGUGCCACUAGAUAUUCUGGGUUAGAGUCCAGGCUCUGUCGCAGCCGACCGUGACUGGGAGACCAAUGGGGUGGUGCAGAAUUGGCCCAGCGUUGUCCAGGUUAUAGGAGGGUUUGGCCGGCAGGGAAGUCCAUGUCCCAUCUCAUACGAGCGACUUCUGUGGUGGGCCGAGCACAGUGCACACUGACACAGUCGUCGGGUGUACAGUGUUUCCUCCGACACAUUGGUGCGGCUGGCAUCCGGGUUAAGUGAACAUUAUGUCAAGAAGCAGUGCGGCUUGGUUGGGUUGUGUUUUGGAGGACGCAUGGCUCUUGACCUUCGCCUCUCCCGAGUCCGUACAGGAGAUGCAGCAUUGAGACAAGACUGUAACUACCAAUUGAAUACCAUGAAAUUGGGUUAAAAAAAAGGAGAAAAAGAAGACUCCGAACAAUAACAACAGAAGGUGCACCUAUGAAUAAAUAAGUAGAGAGAUCAAGACACACCCGGACUGUCACCCGUCUAUGCAGACUAAAAUAGAUCGAAACCUAGACAUCAAAAGGGUCAAUAAUGUGUGAUUGAGUUGUGUAUUUUCUUUCCUA
Long non-coding RNA from Oncorhynchus keta (chum salmon), 1657 nucleotides. RefSeq lists it as uncharacterized. The transcript has 3 exons. The record is from RefSeq and is a predicted model, not a curated record. NCBI's taxonomy places the organism in Eukaryota, Metazoa, Chordata, Actinopteri, Salmoniformes, Salmonidae.